UACGUAGGGUGCAAGCGUUGUCCGGAAUUAUUGGGCGUAAAGAGCUCGUAGGCGGUCUGUCGCGUCGGCUGUGAAAACCCGAGGCUCAACCUCGGGCCUGCAGUCGAUACGGGCAAACUAGAGUACUGCAGGGGAGACUGGAAUUCCUGGUGUAGCGGUGAAAUGCGCAGAUAUCAGGAGGAACACCAGUGGCGAAGGCGAGUCUCUGGACAUUUCCUGACGCUGAGGCACGAAAGCCAGGGGAGCAAACAGG
Molecule: ribosomal RNA, 253 nt
Filed under: uncultured bacterium
Lineage: Bacteria
Description: partial 16S ribosomal RNA
Rfam family: Bacterial small subunit ribosomal RNA
Source: RNAcentral